Molecule: non-coding RNA, 29 nt
Filed under: Rattus norvegicus (Norway rat)
Lineage: Eukaryota; Metazoa; Chordata; Mammalia; Rodentia; Muridae
Source: RNAcentral
UCAAAGCCAAGUAUCUUUAGUAAAAGGUG